GACGAACGCUGGCGGCGUGCUUAACACAUGCAAGUCGAACGGAAAGGCCCUGCUUUUGUGGGGUGCUCGAGUGGCGAACGGGUGAGUAACACGUGCGUACCCUGCCCUUGGCUUUGGGAUAACUUCAGGAUACUUGGGCUAAUACCCGAUAUGAGCUCCUGCUGCAUGGUGGGGGUUGGAAAGGUUCGGCGGUUGGGGAUGGAUUCGCGGCUUAUCAGCUUGUUGUUGGGGUAGUGGCAGCCCAAGGCUUUGACGGGUUGCCGGCCUGAGAGGGUGACCGGCCACAUGGGGACUGCGAUACGGCCCAGACUCCUACGGGAGGCAGCAGUGGGGAACAUUGCACAAUGGGCGGGAGCCUGAUGCAGCAACGCCGCGUGCGGGAUGACGGCCUGCGGGUUGUAAACCGCUUUCGCCUGUGACGAAGCGUGAGUGACGGUAAUGUGUAAAGAAGCACCGGCUAACUACGUG
RNAcentral lists this ribosomal RNA (468 nucleotides) under uncultured bacterium. RNAcentral describes it as "partial 16S ribosomal RNA". It matches the Rfam family "Bacterial small subunit ribosomal RNA", at positions 28 to 507 of the family's 1533-position model. The record is from RNAcentral.